UGAGGAAUAUUGGUCAAUGGGCGGAAGCCUGAACCAGCCAAGUCGCGUGAGGGAAGACGGUCCUAUGGAUUGUAAACCUCUUUUGCAGGGGAGCAAGACGCGGUACGUGUACCGUGCUGGAGAGUACCCUGAGAAAAAGCAUCGGCUAACUCCGUGCCAGCAGCCGCGGUAAUACGGAGGAUGCGAGCGUUAUCCGGAUUUAUUGGGUUUAAAGGGUGCGUAGGCGGGUCGGUAAGUCAGUUGUGAAAGUUCGGGGGCUCAACCCCGGCAAUUGCAGUUGAAACUGCCGGUCUUGAGUACACGCAGGGAAGCCUGAAUUCAUGGUGUAGCGGUGAAAUGCUUAGAUAUCACGCAGAACUCCGAUUGCGAAGGCAGCAUACCGGCGCUCAACUGACGCUCAUGCACGAAAGCGUGGGUAUCGAACAGGAUUAGAUACC
RNAcentral lists this ribosomal RNA (437 nucleotides) under uncultured bacterium. Its description in RNAcentral is "bacterial SSU rRNA". It matches the Rfam family "Bacterial small subunit ribosomal RNA", at positions 355 to 786 of the family's 1533-position model. The record is from RNAcentral.